CGGAGCGUAGCGCAGCCUGGUAGCGUACUUGCAUGGGGUGCAAGGGGUCGUGAGUUCAAAUCUCACCGUUCCGACCA
Molecule: transfer RNA, 77 nt
Filed under: Methylophilaceae bacterium
Lineage: Bacteria; Pseudomonadati; Pseudomonadota; Betaproteobacteria; Nitrosomonadales; Methylophilaceae
Description: tRNA-Pro
Rfam family: tRNA
About the family: Transfer RNA (tRNA) molecules are approximately 80 nucleotides in length.
Source: RNAcentral